AAGAUCACUGGCGGCGUGCCUACCAUGNCAGUCGGGCGGGGGAUGGCAGAGUAUCGCGUCCCUAGCGGCAGACGGGUGAGUAACGCGUAGGCAACCUGCCCCUGUCAGGGAGACAACCCUCUGAAAGGAGGGCUGAUAUCCCGUAGUCCCGGAGGGAGGCAUCUCCCCCUGGGGAAAGCGGAAACGCGGACAGGGAGGGGCCUGCGGCCUAUCAGCUAGUUGGCGGGGCAACGGCCCACCAAGGCAAAGACGGGUAGCCGAUCUAAAAGGAUGACCGGCCACAAGGGGACUGAGACACGGCCCCUACUCCUACGGGAGGCAGCAGUGGGGAAUUUUGGACAAUGGGGGAAACCCUGAUCCAGCGACGCCGCGUGGAGGACGAAGGCUUUCGGGUUGUAAACUCCUUUUGUCCGGGGCGAAAGUGCGCGAGCAUCUGACGGUACCGGACGAAUAAGCCACGGCUAACAACGUGCCAGCAGCCGCGGUAAU
RNAcentral lists this ribosomal RNA (489 nucleotides) under uncultured bacterium. RNAcentral describes it as "bacterial SSU rRNA". It matches the Rfam family "Bacterial small subunit ribosomal RNA", at positions 31 to 524 of the family's 1533-position model. The record is from RNAcentral.